CUAUAAACAAGGUGGUGAUACUGAUGUAUCCUUCUAUGAACAAGGUGGUGAUACUGAUGUAUCCUUCUAUGAACAAGGUGGUG
This is a long non-coding RNA of Mytilus californianus (California mussel), 83 nucleotides long. RefSeq lists it as uncharacterized. The record is from RefSeq and is a predicted model, not a curated record. Lineage: Eukaryota; Metazoa; Mollusca; Bivalvia; Mytilida; Mytilidae. The transcript has 3 exons.